AAAAAGGCCCUUUUUAGGGCCCCCAAGUUUUCACCGAAAGAGCUGG
Equus caballus (horse) is the source of this 46-nucleotide non-coding RNA. The record is from Rfam. NCBI's taxonomy places the organism in Eukaryota, Metazoa, Chordata, Mammalia, Perissodactyla, Equidae.